AAAACAUCUAUUUAAUGUAUUUUAAAAUAAUUUGUAAGUUGCUUUUAAAACCAAUUUAACUACAUUCCAAAUUAUAAGCAGCCCAUUUAUAUGGGAGUAAUUUUUCAGGCGCAUUGUCUCGCAGGUGAUGAGAACUAGCUAGCUGGAAGCUGUGGGAAAAAGAGCCUCCAGGCACUCCGUUAUGUUGGUGUGACUUGUCUUGGAAAUACACUCUGAGCAUUUGCCAGAGGAGAUCCAGUGCCUGGGCCUCUGUUGCUUCUCCCAAGUAGAAUUGGCAGCUAAAAUACGGGAUGCCCAUGGGCACAACCUCUCACCCCCAUCACCGACCAGGGAGCAGAAGGAGGCUGCUGGGGAUGCCCCCACAGGGAGCACAGUCUCAUCGGGAAUGACCUUCCAUGGCAAACAAAAUCACCAGGGCAAGUCAAGGGAGAGACCAGGGAAGAGAGUGCUCCAGCCUAUAUUAAAAAAGGAUGAGAAAGGUUGAAGAAAAAGAGAAAAAGGGACAGAAAUUCUCUUCACACAUUUGCAGAAGUAGGUCUGGACUCUCCAUCCACUUCUCCUCCGAUACGUAGGACAGGAAUCUCAGAGGAAAUGGCGUCACUUCCCAUGUUUACAGACACAGCAGUGAACUCAAAGAACAAUCUUAUCAGGAUUUUCCAAAUGAAAACAUGGAGCAUAUAGAGAAUAAAGAUCUGCAAACUCUUA
RNAcentral lists this small RNA (705 nucleotides) under Pongo abelii (Sumatran orangutan). Its description in RNAcentral is "processed transcript". The record is from RNAcentral. Lineage: Eukaryota; Metazoa; Chordata; Mammalia; Primates; Hominidae.